GGCGGCAUGGCCAAGUGGUAAGGCGGAGGACUGCAAAUCCUUUAUCCCCAGUUCAAAUCCGGGUGUCGCCUGAUCAACAAA
RNAcentral lists this transfer RNA (81 nucleotides) under Phoenix roebelenii. RNAcentral describes it as "tRNA-Cys". The stretch from base 1 to 71 matches the Rfam family "tRNA". Rfam says of the family: Transfer RNA (tRNA) molecules are approximately 80 nucleotides in length. Their secondary structure includes four short double-helical elements and three loops (D, anti-codon, and T loops). The record is from RNAcentral. Lineage: Eukaryota; Viridiplantae; Streptophyta; Magnoliopsida; Arecales; Arecaceae.